RNAcentral lists this ribosomal RNA (427 nucleotides) under uncultured bacterium. Its description in RNAcentral is "partial 16S ribosomal RNA". It matches the Rfam family "Bacterial small subunit ribosomal RNA", at positions 355 to 774 of the family's 1533-position model. The record is from RNAcentral.
UGGGGAAUAUUGCACAAUGGGCGCAAGCCUGAUGCAGCCAUGCCGCGUGUAUGAAGAAGGCCUUCGGGUUGUAAAGUACUUUCAGCGGGGAGGAAGGCGAUAAGGUUAAUAACCUUGUCGAUUGACGUUACCCGCAGAAGAAGCACCGGCUAACUCCGUGCCAGCAGCCGCGGUAAUACGGGGGGUGCAAGCGUUAAUCGGAAUUACUGGGCGUAAAGCGCACGCAGGCGGUCUGUCAAGUCGGAUGUGAAAUCCCCGGGCUCAACCUGGGAACUGCAUUCGAAACUGGCAGGCUAGAGUCUUGUAGAGGGGGGUAGAAUUCCAGGUGUAGCGGUGAAAUGCGUAGAGAUCUGGAGGAAUACCGGUGGCGAAGGCGGCCCCCUGGACAAAGACUGACGCUCAGGUGCGAAAGCGUGGGGAGCAAACA